This 67-nucleotide small RNA is filed under the name Cytobacillus firmus. RNAcentral describes it as "Bacillus firmus Bacillaceae-1 RNA". It matches the Rfam family "Bacillaceae-1 RNA". RNAcentral also lists the same sequence under 1 other name. Lineage: Bacteria; Bacillati; Bacillota; Bacilli; Caryophanales; Bacillaceae. The record is from RNAcentral.
AAUGAAGGCACGCAGACUAAAAACACCACUUCCUGCGGCAACUUCUGCAUGACCCGCAUCCUCCCAG